GACGAACGCUGGCGACGUGCUUAACACAUGCAAGUCGAGCGGUAAGGCCCUUUCGGGGGUACACGAGCGGCGAACGGGUGAGUAACACGUGGGUGACCUGCCCUCAGCUCUGGGAUAAGCCUGGGAAACCGGGUCUAAUACUGGAUAUGACUCCAUGACGCAUGUUGUGGGGUGGAAAGCCUUGUGCGGCUGAGGAUGGGCCCGCGGCCUAUCAGCUUGUUGGUGGGGUGAUGGCCUACCAAGGCGACGACGGGUAGCCGGCCUGAGAGGGCGACCGGCCACACUGGGACUGAGACACGGCCCAGACUCCUACGGGAGGGCAGCAGUGGGGAAUCUUGCGCAAUGGGCGAAAGCCUGACGCAGCGACGCCGCGUGAGGGAUGACGGCCU
RNAcentral lists this ribosomal RNA (389 nucleotides) under uncultured bacterium. Its description in RNAcentral is "bacterial SSU rRNA". It matches the Rfam family "Bacterial small subunit ribosomal RNA", at positions 28 to 417 of the family's 1533-position model. The record is from RNAcentral.